Molecule: ribosomal RNA, 481 nt
Filed under: uncultured bacterium
Lineage: Bacteria
Description: partial 16S ribosomal RNA
Rfam family: Bacterial small subunit ribosomal RNA
Source: RNAcentral
GAUGAACGCUGGCGGCGUGCUUAACACAUGCAAGUCGAGCGAGAGAGUUCUUCGGAACAAUCUAGCGGCGGACGGGUGAGUAACACGUGGGCAACCUGCCUCAUAGAGGGGAAUAACCUUCCGAAAGGAAGAUUAAUACCGCAUAACAUCGUUGAAGGGCAUCCUUCGAUGAUCAAAGGAGCAAUCCGCCAUGAGAUGGGCCCGCGGCGCAUUAGCUAGUUGGUGAGGUAACGGCUCACCAAGGCGACGACGGGUAGCCGGCCUGAGAGGGCGACCGGCCACACUGGGACUGGGGCACGGCCCAGACUCCUACGGGAGGCAGCAGUGGGGAAUAUUGCACAAUGGGCGAAAGCCUGAUGCAGCGACGCCGCGUGAGGGAUGAAGGUCUUCGGAUUGUAAACCUCUUUCAGUAGGGACGAAGCGAAAGUGACGGUACCUAAAGAAGAAGCACCGGCUAACUACGUGCCAGCCGCCGCGGUAA